Molecule: ribosomal RNA, 616 nt
Filed under: uncultured Planctomycetota bacterium
Lineage: Bacteria; Pseudomonadati; Planctomycetota
Description: bacterial SSU rRNA
Rfam family: Bacterial small subunit ribosomal RNA
Source: RNAcentral
AGAGUUUGAUCCUGGCUCAGAUGAACGCUGCGGCAUGGCUAAACAUGCAAGUCGAACGAGAACCUCGCAAGAGGGGACAGUGGCGGAAGGGUCAGUAAUGGGAUCGAAUGUACCCCGAGGUGGAGGAUAGCGUUGGGAAACUAACGGUAAUACUCCAUGUCCUCUACGGAGAAAAGAUUUAUCGCCUUGGGAGCAGCGAUCCUCCUAUCAGGUAGUUGGCGGGGUAAAAGCCCACCAAGCCGAAGACGGGUAGCGGGUGUGAGAGCACGGCCCGCGACAUCGAGACUGAGACACUGCUCGGACUCCUACGGGAGGCUGCAGUAACGAAUAUUCCGCAAUGCGCGAAAGCGUGACGGAGCAAUGCCGCGUGCAGGAUGAAGCGGUUUUGCCGUGUAAACUGCUGUCAGGGAUAAGAAAUACUGAUCUAUCCCAGAGGAAGGGGCGACUAACUCUGUGCCAGCAGUCGCGGUAAUACAGAGGCCCCGAGCGUUAAUCGGAAUCACUGGGCUUAAAGGGUGCGUAGGCGGGUCAGUAAGCGCUUUGUGAAAUCCCAUGGCUCAACCAUGGAACCGCAGGGCGAACUGCUGACCUUGAGGAAGCUAGAGGCUGGUAGAAC